AGAAUGGAAAAAUAAAAAAUAAAAGGAAAUCUGGGAGCUAUUCAGCUUGAGGACCAUACAGAUUCCUCUGCCUUUGCCAGAUUUGAGUUAAAACUGAUGGGAUAUGGCACUUGAUGUCAUUAAUUCUAAUUUUGCAGAAGAAUUCGGAGUCACGCAACUGCAGCGGCUGAGUUCAGGUGAAUUCUUCCCUCAGAGCUGGCCAAGAAGCUGCUUGGGCAAAAACCACCGAGGGAGUGAGGAAGACUAAACAUCACAUCACCGUGCGUGCUUUGCAGAUUACUGCACAGCUUCCAGCCGCUCUUUCAGCGGUGGCUGUGGAACGCUGCCGGUGGAUGGCUGAGCCUAAGAGCACAGACCUGUCUGCUUUCAUUGGCACCAUGCUGCCGGCCCUAGCAGUCAGCCAGGACUCCCACUGCUUUCAAACAAUGGGGGGUUACCUGACUAGGGACCGCAGGAUGCAAAGCCCGGAGCAGUCGAUGCAAGAUAAACAGAACUAUAAGCUAACAUCGCGCGGUCUUUUUUCUUCUGUUCCUGGAACUUUGCAGUUUUCUGUCCCGUUCCCUUCCCUAACGCAGUUCAGUGCUUUGUAAGAGCAACUAGUCUCUUGCGUCAAUUGUUUUGUCCCAAACUAAGUCUUUAAGCACAAGACAAUAGAUCACAGCGAUCCCUCAAGUUUCAGGUAAACAAAGCAUUACAGUCAUUCUCUCGUGGGCUUUCUGUUCAGUCAGCUGACUCGGGCUUAUUAACAUUUCUGACCAUAUGCCUCCAAAAACAACACAGCCUCUCUCUCCUGCCCCCAACGAGCCUGACAGACAUUUGGACAACUUUGGCACAAGGUCUUUUAUUAGUAACAAGAGUAAAAUACACUGGAAAUGUCAAUUUAUAAAUGGGCACACUUUUAAGUCCUGCUGUAGACACUGUUCAAAAGGAGAGGCUAAUGCCUCCGAAUUUCUUUUUUAAAAGUCAGUUAAAAUAAAAAUGUGGCCAAGAUGAAAACUAGAAUGAUUCCCAGAUAGACUGUAACUUGAGUGUGUCACAUGUGACUUAGACACCUACAGCCUACGCUACUGCAAUGUGCUCUACCUGGGUUUAGUUGUGCAGGGCCAUUGGAAGAUAGAGAGCUAGUGUAAAAUGCAAUUGCAGGGGGCCAAUGAGCAUGUUUAUAUCCUGCCUCUGUGCUCUUUCCUCUUCACUGCCACUCAUCCAUCUCUGGGUGAAACUGAAUAGCUAUUUGCAAUAUACAAAACCAUACAUUGCAUUACAUUAGCACCUAAAGACCUCAAUCCGGGAUCAGAGUCCAAAUUGUGCUAGGAGCUGAGUGCAUCAGAGGUGUCAAACUCAUUAUAUGGAA
This is a long non-coding RNA of Mauremys reevesii (Reeves's turtle), 1351 nucleotides long. RefSeq lists it as uncharacterized. The transcript is spliced from 4 exons. NCBI's taxonomy places the organism in Eukaryota, Metazoa, Chordata, Testudines, Geoemydidae. The record is from RefSeq and is a predicted model, not a curated record.